This 468-nucleotide ribosomal RNA is filed under the name uncultured bacterium. Its description in RNAcentral is "partial 16S ribosomal RNA". It matches the Rfam family "Bacterial small subunit ribosomal RNA", at positions 28 to 507 of the family's 1533-position model. The record is from RNAcentral.
GACGAACGCUGGCGGCGUGCUUAACACAUGCAAGUCGAACGGAAAGGCCCUGCUUUUGUGGGGUGCUCGAGUGGCGAACGGGUGAGUAACACGUGAGUAACCUGCCCUUGACUUUGGGAUAACUUCAGGAAACUGGGGCUAAUACCGGAUAGGAGCUCCUGCUGCAUGGUGGGGGUUGGAAAGUUUCGGCGGUUGGGGAUGGACUCGCGGCUUAUCAGCUUGUUGGUGGGGUAGUGGCUUACCAAGGCUUUGACGGGUAGCCGGCCUUAGAGGGUGACCGGCCACAUUGGUACUGAGAUACGGCCCAGACUCCUACGGGAGGCAGCAGUGGGGAAUAUUGCACAAGGGGCGGGAGCCUGAUGCAGCAACGCCGCGUGCGGGAUGACGGCCUUCGGGUUGUAAACCGCUUUCGCCUGUGACGAAGCGUGAGUGACGGUAAUGGGUAAAGAAGCACCGGCUAACUACGUG